CUAAUCUGCCCUGGGUAAGUCGGGACCUAAGGCGAGGCCGACAGGCGUAGUCGAUGGACAACGGGUUGAUAUUCCCGUACCGGCGAAGUUGCGCCCAUGACGAACCUGGUGAUGCUAACCACCCGAAGCUCAUCGGACCGGACCCUUCGGGGCGAGGCUGGUGAGGGGAGCGUGGGACCCGAACUGGUAGUAGUCAAGCGAUGGGGUGACACAGGAAGGUAGCCCAGCCACAGCGAUGGUUGUCUGUGGGCAAGCGUGUAGGACGUGGUGUAGGCAAAUCCGCACCAUCCACUUCAGUGUGGAGUCUGAGACGUGAUGCGGAGCCGUAUGGCGAAGUGGGUGAUCCUAUGCUGUCGAGAAAAACCUCUAGCGAGCAACGAGCCGCCCGUACCCCAAACCGACUCAGGUGAUCAGGUAGAGAAUACUAAGGCGAUCGAGAAAACCAUGGUUAAGGAACUCGGCAAAAUGCCCCCGUAACUUCGGGAGAAGGGGGGCCCGGAUCGUGUACCCACUUGCUGGGGAAGCGUGAAGGGCCGCAGAGACCAGGGGAAAGCGACUGUUUACUAAAAACACAGGAGCGUGCGAAGUCGCAAGACGCAGUAUACGCUCUGACGCCUGCCCGGUGCUGGAAGGUCAAGGGGAUAGGUUAGCUCUUCGGAGCGAAGCUUUGAACUCAAGCCCCAGUAAACGGCGGCGGUAACUAUAACCGUUGAACAGAAAACUGAACGGCGGUUGCAAAACCUGGCUAUAUGCUGGAACAUCCGAGUAUCCGACGGUACUCGUUCGGUCCAAAGGUAGAAAUACCGAAGGACAUGAACAGUGAAAAUCCGAUCGGUGCGGACAAUCAGCAGGAAACCGAAGCCACAGAACGACCAAUCGAUCCAUAUCGGAUCGUCAGAGGAUCGCCUCGAGCGAACCGUCUGACGUACCGGAUGCUGGCAACUCAAGCCGGCGGAUGGGCAGACCGAAACGAAUCGAGGGUUGGCGUGGAAGACCAUGCAUCCAGGCAUACGUACCGAUCGCAAGAUCGAUGCCAACACGGAAGCACUGGUCCCUGGACAGAACCGAAAGGUGACGUCCUGUAGGGAUCCUCAGAGACUGUACGCUAGGCGCCGCAAUGAGUAGCGGUGAUGAUACAGUCCGAUCCUCAUGGCGACAUGGGGAGCCCGGCAGAAAUGACCGGGCCCGUUACUUCACGUAAUGAAUUCCACGUGGAGUGCGAAGUAACAAGAAUGCCUAAGGUAGCGAAAUUCCUUGUCGGGUAAGUUCCGACCUGCACGAAUGGCGCAACGACUUGGGCACUGUCUCAACCAGAGACUCGGCGAAAUUGCAGUGUGAGUAAAGAUGCUCACUUCCUGCGACAGGACGGAAAGACCCCGGGACCUUUACUGCAACUUGACAUUGGAGUUCGUUAUCAGAUGUGUAGGAUAGGUGGGAGACCGUGAAGCGGUGGCGCUAGCCAUCGUGGAGUCAACCUUGAAAUACCACCCUUCUCAUAAUGGUCUUCUAACCUCGAUCCAUUAUCUGGAUCAGGGACAGUGUCUGGUGGGCAGUUUCACUGGGGUGGUGGCCUCCUAAAAUGUAACGGAGGCGCCCAAAGGUUCCCUCAGCCAGGUCGGCAAUCUGGCGUUGAGUGCAAAAGCACAAGGGAGCUUGACUGCGAGACAAACAAGUCGAGCAGGUACGAAAGUAGGGUUUAGUGAUCCCUCGGCGGCAUGUGGGUGCGCCGAGGCCAACGGCUAAAAGGUACCCCGGGGAUAACAGGCUCAUACCGCCCAAGAGUCCAUAUCGACGGCGGUGUUUGGCACCUCGAUGUCGGCUCGUCUCAUCCUGGGGCUGAAGCAGGUCCCAAGGGGCGGGCUGUUCGCCCGUUAAAGAGGCACGCGAGCUGGGUUUAGAACGUCGUGAGACAGUUCGGUCCCUAUCCGUUGUGGGCGCAGGAGAUUUGAGGAGAGUUGUCCCUAGUACGAGAGGACCGGGAUGAACGUACCUCUGGUGUGCCAGUUGUCCUGCCAAGGGCACGGCUGGUUUGCUACGUACGGAACGGAUAAGCGCUGAA
RNAcentral lists this ribosomal RNA (2059 nucleotides) under marine sediment metagenome. Its description in RNAcentral is "bacterial LSU rRNA". It matches the Rfam family "Bacterial large subunit ribosomal RNA", at positions 1365 to 2775 of the family's 2925-position model. The record is from RNAcentral.